CUGCGGCCAUCGCCGCGCGCCGCGCCAAAGAGGGGGACCCGAGCAGCCGCGGCAGUUACUAUGGCAACUGCCAAGCGCCGGGCCUAGCGGUGGACCGCGAAGCCUUGCGAGCGCAGGCAAAGGAAAGGGGGAAAGGGUGCUCGGCUCCGGAGGGUGUUGUCGCUGCGGUAGCCUGUCCUCCGUAGCGGCUCUGAAAGUCGAGGCACGCUCCGCGCCCUUGCAGUUGCAGCAGUGGCUCGACGGACGAAGCCGGGGGAAAGGCGCCCCCAGCAGCUACUUCCCGGUUCGCGGCUAUGCAGCCAACCUACUGAUAAUACCUAAUGCGGCUGCUAAAUUCUCGCCCGUAAUUUUUCCGACAUAAAUCCAGCGUAGAGACUGUCCUUGGGAACUUAUUGCCAAAAAAAAAAAAAGUGCAGAAGCCUUCCUGUGCAGCGACUUCCGUGCAAAGCAGUGGCUUUUUCCAUCAAGCCAUGCACGAACACACAGCGGGUGGAUCCUUUAGCAUCACACAGAUUAGCGAUCAACAACCCAGUGCUAUGCACACUGCAAGUCUUGCUGCUGUUUGUAGGGCUUGCUCCCAAAUAACUGCGUAAAAUUCAAUUUGAUUGAAUUCGGUAGCAACCAGCAGACACAGACAUAAAGCUCCAAUGUCACAGGAACAGAUGCCACAGACCUAGCGGGACUUACUUCAAAGUAAAUAAACGAAGAUUUUAUUCUUUUUAAAAGCAAGCUUCAUGACAGACGGGGGAUUUGUACCUGGGCCUCCUCGUAAUUCACAAUCCAUGCAUUUGGGGGGGGGCAUGAGAAGUAACCAGGGUGUUGUUUAAGUAGAUGUGUUUGGAUCCAUACAGUCACUAAAGAGUUAUUUUAAGCUAAAAUGCAACAAAUGCUGCAGAGUGAGGGGAAACUUGUGGCUCACCACUAUAUUAAACUGUGGCACUCAAGCAACCACAUCCUACACAGGAAUCUGAAUAGCACUGAAUGCUUUCUGUGUGGUAAGCACCAUAUUUUCACAGGUAAAAAAUAGUGCACAAUGACUUGGAAAACCAUGAUAUCCCUGACAGAAAGGCAGUUUGAGGGAUUAUAGGCUGUUGGUGCAUGCAAAGGGGGGUGCACAUUUAUUGCACAAAAACAACAGCAUGCACCUGUAAACGGAACAAAUAUAUUUCUUUUUCUGUGCUUUUGCUGGUAAAAAAAAGGUGUCCCUGAAUCUGGUCAUUUCAUGUGAUGUGAAUGGUCUAUGGUUCAAUCCUAGCAAUGUUCAUUUGCAAGUAAGUCUCAUUAAUUUCAAUAGCACUUCCAAGGAAAGUUAUUGUAUAAGAUGCGUAAGAAGGCCUUUAGGAGUAGAGUACACCUGGAUAUAAGAUACAUGCCCCAUCUCACUUUUUCCUUCUUGACCCUGUCUUGCCCAUCUAUUUCUGAUAUGCAGGGUCUUGUCCACACCUGGCACCAUAUAUACGUGAUAUAGUAGAAUUAGUGGACACACUAGAAAAGCAGACAGCUUGCUCAAAUGCAGUGUAAGCAAUCCAACUGAACACCACAUCAGACAGACAAGUUUACUGCAAUGCAGACAUGGCCUAUUAAAGGAAGCACAACUUAAGUUAUUGUGUUCCACUUCAUUAAGGUCAGUUCCCAAAGUAAGGCACACAGCUCUUGUUCUAGCAACUUACAAAUAAAAUAGCCUCAAUAAAAUGCUGACACAUACCUGUUACCAGUGUUCUCCUAACAUAGUGUUGCUUUGAAGAUAAAGAAACAUGGUACAGCGCUUUGUAUAUAGAGAAAUGCUACAUAAGUUAUUUUUAAUGUUGAAACAACCAUGCACACACAAAUGAAACACUGAAGGACAAAAAUCCACAGACAUGAGGAAAUAUCUACACCUGACAUUCUACAGAAAGGUGGUGUGUGGGCAUAAAGAAGCAUAAAGACAGGUUCAGGAAAAGGUGAGAAAAGCACAGUAAUAGAAAGAGGCCAAGAAUUGUCAUGUAUGAGGAGAUUAGUAGCAACAGACAAUACUGCACCAACCAAACUGUGGAAUCUUCUAUUACGUAAAAGGUACGGAAGGAGAACUUUCCAAAACAAGUGAAAUCUGAUAAUUGCAGAAUUUAGGAGCUGCAGUAUUUGUCCAUUCCACUGACAGAUAUUAUUGUCCUAUCAUGUAUGUUACCAUUAGAUAUUCUGCUAAUGCUUCCAGAAAUCAUUUGGGGGGAGGGUUUUCUCCAGUUUCCCAUGCUUGGUAACCUGGAGCAAUAGAAGCUUAGCUAGCUUUUGUUUUCCUUUAUAUAGGUCCCUUUGAGAAGUGAGAGUGCUCUGAGCAUUCUCAGAAAUAGUUCCCACUUCAUAACUCCAUCAGCUUGCAAAGUCCAGUUCAUGUUGCAUGAAUACUAAGGGAUUAAGAGAGUAGAGAUUCACAUGCUUUACAGCUAACAAAAGUGCUGUUCUUCCCUAUUUCUGAGGAUUCUACAGUUUCACUAGGUCUAAGGCACCUCACAAUGAUUCCAACUGAACACUCCCCUUCCUCUGCUAUUUGCAAGAUGAGAGAACUCCAGGGCUUCAUUUUCUAAAAGAGGUGUGUAGUAUGUGUCAAACAUCCCCAGAAAGCAUACCCUCCACCUCUUUUCUGUAAUUCAGAAUGUGUGAGGCCUGGUUGUAGUUACUUAUUAGCAAAAGGAAUCCAUUGUCCACAUACUCAGAGUCACUCUUUUAUUAUCACUUCUCCUGGUGUCCCGCCAUUGAAAAACAUAGCCAAGCACUGGUAAACUCAUUAUGUGGUCUCAGGAAAGUAAAGUUCACUCCUAUUGUUACUUGCUGUGAUGGGAAUUCAAGGUGACACAUCAGCGGUGAAGAAAUCCAGGGUAAUGUUAGACUCAAGCAGCUCAGGACUGUAUCUUUCUUGCUAGAAAUUUCCCCAGCCACGACCCAUGUAUUAAUGGUGUUUAAUUGGCCAGGUUAAUUCCCUCUACAUAGCCAUAAAUAUGCUCUCAUCACACUAUAUCCAAAAUCCUAUUUUGCUUUGCUUUUAUGCCCUUAAUUAAAAAGUUAGAAAAACAAUGAGGGUACCUUUGAAAACACAUGCCAUACAUAAAAAGGUGCAGUGAUGCCUACAUGAAUCCACAUAACUCUUCUCUCCCAAACCUGCCAUCUUCCCCAUACUGUAAUUAGAGAGUUUGGAAUUUUUCCAAGAUACCAUAGAAUUCAGUAUUUUUAACAUAAAAUCAAUUACGUUUAAGGCAAACAUGUACUUUCUAUUUUUUGUUUCCCUCUCCAUGCUGAGCUCUGCCCACAGCAUAUUGGCUUCUUGUUUUCCAGCCUUCCCUUAAGGCUUAACAAGCCAGUGAAUUAUAGUGUUUGCUUCUUGCAAUAGCAUAGUCACAAAUAUUCUUUCUUUCUCCUCUCUCCUAUCAACAUGCUAUUUACUUUUGAAUUUUAAUCUCCGGUGGACUCAUACAAAAUAUAAAUCAGACUGGAUGCCAGCUUGUGAUAUACAUAUGGAAGGAAGUACUGAGUCAUUUGAAAACCAAACAAAGGAAGUGAUUGAAAGUUUCCAGCAAGGCCUUAUAGAUUUUCAGACUUUUAUUUAAAUUGCAAUAUUGAAAAGAUUAAAACUUAUCAAGCAUCAUGGUUUGAAUCACUGCAAAUAGGAAAAGCUGCCAAGUCUCAUUAAUUGGAAACAUUGAUUGCACUUUGUGUUGCAGUUAUUAAUAUGUUGGCAUCAGUGGAUGCCAUCCACUUCAAAGCAAAUUGCCUCUCAAGUGACAAGCACAAACCACUUAAACCACUGCACUUGCGUUUAAACCAACUAAUCUUAGUAAAUCCACCAAACCACCUUAAAUUGGUUCAUUUGCACACAGACAAGUGCAUGAAGAAGUUGCUGUCAUAAGCACUUUGCCUCCCCCCAAUGUUUUCUUGAGGGGGCUGGGCCCCACCACUGUUCAGAGGGUGGAGGAGGGCAAAUGUGGAGCCAGGCAUGGUGUGGCUUCAGUGGCCAGUGGUUCCUCCUGCCGCUGUCACCACCACUGGCCAGGGGCAGUUUUCCCCGUCUUUCUCUUGUGCGGCAUAGGGGGAAGAUGGGGGCCACUGACCACUGGGACCACAUUCAGCUCCACCCCCUGGCUCCUCACAACGUUGAGCGUGUGACAUCAGUCCAUCGUGUCAGGCACCCACAAUCUUUUUUUAGAAGUUGGCACCUCUGGCUGCUGUAGAAUCUUGCCCCAUAUACUGAGUUUGUUGGCUUCAGCAAUGCUUUUGAAGCAUCCACUUGAGAUGAUCAAAGCAGCAUUCUCUUCUUCUGGUUCUGUUUAUAUCCUGUGCAUCUCAUGAAUCACUGAUGUUUUGCUCUGUAAGCUUCUCAUCUGAACAACAUCAUGCUGGCCACCUACACAGGAUCCAGGGGAGGGAAGGAGACCGGAUUGGCAAUCAGUCUGCUAUUCUACAAAAAGUCUUGUGGCUAAAAUCCACAAUAUUUGGUUACAUUCCCAUUUUGGUCAACAUGCAGAAAUUGACCUACAAUUGUAGCUUCACAACAUAAGAAUGAGACUUCUGUUUCCUCUCCUCCUUCACCCUACCCUGCAAGUCUUCUCUAGAUGCCCCCCCCCAACCAUCCAUUACGAAUUUUGAAGGCACCUCAUUACUUCCUUCCAGAUCUGCUAAACCAGGAGUCCUAGAAGACAAAGGUCUGUCUAUUUCAAAGAUUGCUAAAGUUCCUAAACUUAAGAAACAACGGUGCCUAUUUUUACACCUGUUUUCAUUUGCCAAGAGGCACAGGACCCUGAGCUUCUACUAUCACUUUUCCUUCUAUAACUUCUGCUUGUUUUGCCUUCUCCCCCACUUGAUGUUCUCCUUCUCCACAGCUUUCAGGCAGAUAAUUGCAUCUUGCUUUCAACAGAGAUUACGAUUUCUGCAGACCACUUAAAUUAGUUCAUUCCCACAUAUUAGUUCAUGAAAUACCUGCUGCAAAAUCUGAGUUUGUAAUCCAGAUCCUCACAGAUUCUGCUACUAUAAAUCCUUUCCCCUUCACUUCUAGAUUGCUUUGGCUUCAGCCACUGGCGGAGGAAAGGGGUGCAGAGGGAGCAGACCGCCCCCGGCACCACUAUUCCAGUAGGAUGCCAUCAUGGCGGCCCUCCUGGACAUGUGCCGCGCACCCCCCUGUGCGCCGGGCGCCGCACCCCCACAGGCGGUCACGCCCCCAGAACACGUGGCAUGCCCCUGUGGGUGGCGUACCACACCCUCACAGGCGGCGUACCAUGCCUCCCCGGGGCAGCCUCGUCCCCGCCUGCUCUCUGCCCCCGGUAGUGGAGCAUGCAGCUUCACCACUGGCUUCAGCAUAGGGUAGGAAGGACAUGCCUCUAUCACAUGUGCAUUACAGAGCUCCUGCAAAUCCAUUUCUCAUCACUUUAAUCACUCAGAAGCCCCACAUUAAUUACCUACAAGCCACACAAAAUUCACAAGUUACAGUUUAGCUAACCCAGCCUGUUGUGUGUAUAAUUGCUGUCACCUGUCCUUAAAGUGGGAUUUAAAAUACAUAAAAACUGUAUUGCUGCAUCAUUAUGGAAAGUAUUACCAAGGAGGAAAGUUAGAUGAAACAUCAUAGAGUAGAAAUCAGAUAUAUGGUACACAAUGGAAAGAUGACAGGAAAAGAUAUACUCAGGGAUGAUCCUUUGGGAGAUAUCAGUCUGGAAGCAUUCAGUUAAGAUGGAUGUUGGCAGGCCACAUAUGUUAGUCCAGAUAAAUGUUCAAUCAUAUUCAUAAAUAUUAAGUUUUCCCCUUUCUUCUUUGUUGUCCUGCAGUCCACAAGUACUGCAUCAUUUUUACACUUUCUAAAACAGUGCCAAAAGGUUUUAUACUAGAUUAGAAGAAAGUACCCUCCAAUGUUUAGCACACAGAAAGAUACAUGUAGGCUAUCUUUAGUGAUUUAUCAGUUCAAAACACAGUAGCAAGCAAACUACAUACUUCCAAAAAGAGAGAUGUAUAGGCCAUUAAUUAGCACAGAUAAAAAAUAAAAUAAAAGACAAAAAUUUAGCCUUCAGUGUCACAAUGUAAUAUAACUUCUAAUUCAAGAUGGCAAGGAUAGAUAAAGAGACUUGUUUUUUCAGUCUUUGAAGAAGGUAUGCUGUAAUAUAAAAUGAUUACAUUGCAAUUAAUCCAUGUGAGAGUAGUCUUGUGACUUUAUAUUACAGUGGUACCUCGGGUUACAAACUUAAUUCGUUCUGGAGGUCUGUUCUUAAUCUGAAACUGUUCUUAACCUGAAGCACCACUUUAACUAAUGGGGCCUCCUGCUGCUGCUGCGCCGCCACUGCACAAGUUCUGUUCUCACCCUGAAGCAAAGUUCUUAACCUGAGAUAAUAUUUCUGGGUAAGCGGAGUCAGUAACGUGAAGCGUAUGUAACCUGAGGUACCACUGUAGUCAGAACAAAAUAUUAGAUGAUACAGAUAUUUUUAAGGAUAUCUUUAAGGAAUAGUUCACAGAUACAAAAUAAAACUGGGCAGUUGUUGGGAGUUCCUGGAGAAUACCAGUUAUGUAUCUAGAUCAACUUCAGUCAGGGCUCAGGUGCCAUUUUGAGACAGAAUCAAAGGCACUGUGGGUUUGUGGUUCCCAUGCCAAGAAGACUGGCCAGUUGCCUGCUCUGAAUGGGUCUGCACACCUUCUGAAGAAACAGGUUUCGAGUUUGGGGGUGCUCCAUCUUGAUUCUGGGUGGCUCACAUGGCCUCAGUGACUAGGAGUGCACUUCACCUGAUACAGCUGGUAGAUCAGCUACAGCCGUUCUUGGACAGGGAUAGUCUGGUCACAGUGAUUCAUGCAUUGAUAACCUCAGUACCCCAUUACUGUGGUGCACUCUAUUUGGGGCUACCCUUCAUCUGUCCAGUGGCUCCAGCUGCUGCAAAAUACUACAGCUAUACUACUGAUGAGGAUGGCUAGAACAGCGUCAGCAUCUGGUGCUCAAAAGUUCUGGUGCUCAAAAGCUUGCACUGGCUGUCCAUAUGCUACCAGGCUGGGUUCAAGGUUCUUGUAUUCAUUUACAAUGCCAUUAACAACUUGGGUCUAGGAUACUUCAGGGACUGCCUGCUUCCUUAUGCCACUGCUUGAUCACUGAGGUUUGGGGAAAAUUCACUGUUAAUCAUCCCCCAUGGCUUGGAUGCAUGGCUUGUAUUCACAAGGAGCCAUGGGUUCAGUAUUGUGGGCCCAAUAUGGUGGAAAUCCCUUCCACCUUAGGUCAGCUGAGGACCACUCCUUGUUGAACUUCCAUUGAUUAGUGAACAGGCUUUUUAUUGAAUCCUAAUUUCAUAGUUUUAAUUCAUAUUUAGUCUUAUUGUAUUGGAUCUCCUAUAUAGCAUUUAGAUACAGCUAUGAUUAAGCAGUAUACAAAUGAACGAACAAACAAACAAAGAAAUAAUAAACUGGAGACAAAUUCCUAACAAUCUACUUACACUUCCUCACUCUUUGCAGACAAGCCUGCUGAGUUUACAUUCCUAACACAUUGAAAGAGUUACAAAUUAGUUACGCAGUUGCAUUCCAAAAAAAUAGCCUUUAAAUUAGAAGCUAUACCACAGGUGAGGAGCUAUAUAUAAUAUUUUCAUUUCAUGACAACAAAUAUUCUUCCUGUGUGUGUAAAAGAAAAAAAUCGCCUGUACUUCUUCCAAAUCUACAUAAAAAGGACACCAUCAACUUUUCAGAAUCUACUAAUGCUGAUAAAGUAGGCAUGCAAGCCAGGGAAAACAUACUAUGUAUAUAUUUCAGUUUAUUUUCUUCACACAUUCAACAUAUUGUUAUAAAUACAGUCCUUCGCCUUCCUUCCCGACUAGAUACAUAGAAAAUUGUAUACUUUUUUUUUCUUCUGUUGGAAGCUGCCUCUAUUUCAUUAAAAAGAAGGAAUGAAAGGGUACUUGGACCUCUUUAAGAAACACAUAUCUGGGGUUCCUUUCAGAAGUAGCAAAACAUCUCUGAAGUUUUUCUCCUAUUACGGGAUCCCUACAGAGAAUCAUUUUCAACUGUCUGCUCCCAGCCACCAGCGAUGCUCACCAGAGCAAGACAGUUUGAGCAUACAAUGGUUUGAACAUAUAAUGCCAAUUGUGGCCAACUGCACGGGUUGCUGAUUACUUUCCGGUCCUAAUUCAAAGUGCUGGAACAGUGCCCCUUCUCUGCCAGCCCACUUGCUCACCUGCAUGGAAUCCCUUGAUGCCCAUGGAUGCCAGGAUGGUUGUAUAUCCCAUCAUAUGUCAAAGUGAUAAACAACUACCUGACAUUUAAGACAUCUGAAGGCUUCAUCUGAAAACUUCAGGGAAGUUUUUAAUGUGUGACAUUUUAAUGUAUUUUUUUAAAAAAUGUUUUUAUUAAGCAAUUUCAACAUAACAAAUUGUCAAACCGUAUAAUCACAUAAUUAUUUCCCCCCUUUUCCCCCCACCCCCUUCCAUCCCUCCCUCCCCACUCCCACCAAGGAUGUCCCUCAGCUCCUCUUUCUGAUUUCUCUGCACUUAUUAUUCUCUGCAUGUUAUAAAAUUAUACACAGUAAAGGUAAAGGGACCCCUGACCAUUAGGUCCAGUCGUGACCGACUCUGGGGUUGCGGCGCUCAUCUCGCUUUAUUGGCUGAGGGAGCCGGCAUACAGCUUCCAGGUCAUGUGGCCAGCAUGACUAAGCCGCUUUUGGCGAACCAGAGCAGCACACGGAGACGCUGUUUACCUUACCGCUAUAGCGGUACCUAUUUAUCUACUUGCACUUUGAUGUGCUUUCGAACUGCUAGGUUGGCAGGAGCAGGGACCAAGCAACGGGAGCUCACCCCCUGGCGGGGAUUCAAACCGCCAACCUUCUGAUCGGCAAGUCCUAGGCUCUGUGGUUUAACCCACAGCACCACCCGUGUCCCUUUAAAAUUAUACAUAUCAUUACCUUAUCUAUCUAGCAUGUUAUCAACCAAUAAAUUUGUGUAUUUUUAUUCAAAACCUGCCAAGGAGUCCAGUUGAUUUUGUUGUCUUUUUAGAUAAUUUGUGAAAAGCUCGACAUUUUAAUGUAUUUUUAAUCUUUGUUGGAAGCCGCCCAGAGUGGCUGGGGAAACCCAGCCAGAUGGGCGGGGUAAUAAUAAUAAUAAUAAUAAUAAUAAUAAUAAUAUACAAGGCUGUGUCCCUGUCUCUACCCUGAACCUCAGCAUUGGUCGACACCAAAAGGGUUUAUAGUCAAACUUCCAACCAAAAUGUAGAACCUGCCACCAGCCUAAAACCAGCCUAAUUCAGAUCACUGUGCACAACAAGCAGAAAGCAUGUGUGCUGCUGAUCAAGGAUGUGUGAUGCAAACAGUUCCAUAAGAAUGUAAGAACAGCUGUGCAUCUUGUUUCCCCACAGUGACAAACCACAUUCUUAUGGAAAACCUACAAGAAGGAGAUGAAAACAGUAGGCUUCUGCUGUUCUUCCCCAGCAACUGGUAUGACUCAAGCGACCAUGUGAGCAUUGAAAGCUCAGUAUGGUGAAUUAAUCUGUCUGACUGGUACUAACAUAAAGUGCAUUUAUAAAUACAAGUUUCUAAAAUUAACUGUACUUGCAGCUCUGAGGUUUCUGAGCAAAUAUGGCUUUUAAU
This 9556-nucleotide long non-coding RNA is filed under the name Podarcis lilfordi (Lilford's wall lizard). The record is from RNAcentral. Lineage: Eukaryota; Metazoa; Chordata; Lepidosauria; Squamata; Lacertidae.